AGCUUUGCGCAGUGGCAGUAUCGUAGCCAAUGAGGUUUAUCCGAGGCGCGAUUAUUGCUAAUUGAAAAAAGUCAAACUGACAAAAUGCUAAAUUAUUCAUUAUUCUAUCUUCCUCCCAUGAUA
This 123-nucleotide small nuclear RNA is filed under the name Neogale vison (American mink). Its description in RNAcentral is "Neovison vison (American mink) U4 spliceosomal RNA (ENSNVIG00000017230.1)". The stretch from base 1 to 72 matches the Rfam family "U4 spliceosomal RNA". From Rfam's summary of the family: U4 small nuclear RNA (U4 snRNA) is a component of the major U2-dependent spliceosome. The structure of U4 snRNA from yeast and human has been reported. Lineage: Eukaryota; Metazoa; Chordata; Mammalia; Carnivora; Mustelidae. The record is from RNAcentral.